AGAGUUUGAUCAUGGCUCAGAGCGAACGCUGGCGGCAGGCUUAACACAUGCAAGUCGAGCGGGCGUAGCAAUACGUCAGCGGCAGACGGGUGAGUAACGCGUGGGAACGUACCUUUUGGUUCGGAACAACACAGGGAAACUUGUGCUAAUACCGGAUAAGCCCUUACGGGGAAAGAUUUAUCGCCGAAAGAUCGGCCCGCGUCUGAUUAGCUAGUUGGUGUGGUAACGGCGCACCAAGGCGACGAUCAGUAGCUGGUCUGAGAGGAUGAUCAGCCACAUUGGGACUGAGACACGGCCCAAACUCCUACGGGAGGCAGCAGUGGGGAAUAUUGGACAAUGGGCGCAAGCCUGAUCCAGCCAUGCCGCGUGAGUGAUGAAGGCCCUAGGGUUGUAAAGCUCUUUUGUGCGGGAAGAUAAUGACGGUACCGCAAGAAUAAGCCCCGGCUAACUUCGUGCCAGCAGCCGCGGUAAUACGAAGGGGGCUAGCGUUGCUCGGAAUCACUGGGCGUAAAGGGUGCGUAGGCGGGUCUUUAAGUCAGGGGUGAAAUCCUGGAGCUCAACUCCAGAACUGCCUUUGAUACUGGGGAUCUUGAGUUCGGGAGAGGUGAGUGGAACUGCGAGUGUAGAGGUGAAAUUCGUAGAUAUUCGCAAGAACACCAGUGGCGAAGGCGGCUCACUGGCCCGAUACUGACGCUGAGGCACGAAAGCGUGGGGAGCAAACAGGAUUAGAUACCCUAGUAGUCC
RNAcentral lists this ribosomal RNA (744 nucleotides) under uncultured bacterium. RNAcentral describes it as "bacterial SSU rRNA". It matches the Rfam family "Bacterial small subunit ribosomal RNA", at positions 8 to 796 of the family's 1533-position model. The record is from RNAcentral.